AACGAACGCUGGCGGCAGGCUUAACACAUGCAAGUCGAACGAAAGCCUCCGGGCAUGAGUGGCACACGGGUGUAUAGCGCGGGAGAAUGUACCUCGGGUUACGAGAUAGCUCCGGGAAAGUGGAGAUAAUAGGGUAAGGUUCCCGGGGGACAAAGAUUCAUCGCUAAGGGGUGGGCCCGCGGUGGAUUAGCGAGUUGGUGGGGUAACGGCCUACCAUGGCGACGAUCCGUAGCUGGUCAAAGAGGAUGAUCAGCCACACUGGGACUGAGACACGGCCCAAACUCCUACGGGAGGCAGCAGUGGGGAAUAUUGGACAAUGGGCGAAAGCCUGAUCCAGCAAUGCCGCGUGAGUGAUGAAGGCCUUAGGGUUGUAAAGCUCUUUUACCCGUGAUGAUAAUGACAGUACCGGGAGAAGAAGCUCCGGCUAACUCCGUG
RNAcentral lists this ribosomal RNA (435 nucleotides) under uncultured bacterium. RNAcentral's name for it is "partial 16S ribosomal RNA". It matches the Rfam family "Bacterial small subunit ribosomal RNA", at positions 29 to 507 of the family's 1533-position model. The record is from RNAcentral.